GAUGAACGCUGGCGGCGUGCCUAAUACAUGCAAGUCGAGCGAACAGACGAGGAGCUUGCUCCUCUGACGUUAGCGGCGGACGGGUGAGUAACACGUGGAUAACCUACCUAUAAGACUGGGAUAACUUCGGGAAACCGGAGCUAAUACCGGAUAAUAUAUUGAACCGCAUGGUUCAAUAGUGAAAGACGGUUUUGCUGUCACUUAUAGAUGGAUCCGCGCCGCAUUAGCUAGUUGGUAAGGUAACGGCUUACCAAGGCAACGAUGCGUAGCCGACCUGAGAGGGUGAUCGGCCACACUGGAACUGAGACACGGUCCAGACUCCUACGGGAGGCAGCAGUGGGGAAUCUUCCGCAAUGGGCGAAGGCCUGACGGAGCAACGCCGCGUGAGUGAUGAAGGUCUUCGGAUCGUAAAACUCUGUUAUUAGGGAAGAACAAAUGUGUAAGUAACUAUGCACGUCUUGACGGUACCUAAUCAGAAAGCCACGGCUAACUACGUG
Molecule: ribosomal RNA, 497 nt
Filed under: uncultured bacterium
Lineage: Bacteria
Description: partial 16S ribosomal RNA
Rfam family: Bacterial small subunit ribosomal RNA
Source: RNAcentral